This 1886-nucleotide ribosomal RNA is filed under the name human gut metagenome. RNAcentral's name for it is "bacterial LSU rRNA". It matches the Rfam family "Bacterial large subunit ribosomal RNA", at positions 3 to 1985 of the family's 2925-position model. The record is from RNAcentral.
UCAAGCUACAAAGAGCACAAGGGGAAUGCCUUGGCACCGAGAGCCGAAGAAGGACGUGACUAACUGCGAUAAGCUGCGGGGAGCCGUAAGUAGGCUUUGAUCCGCAGAUUUCCGAAUGGAGCAAUCCGGCAAGAGGAAAGUCUUGUCAUCAUAUACUGAAUACAUAGGUAUAUGAGGGGAACCGCCUGAACUGAAACAUCUAAGUAGGGCGAGGAAGAGAAAUCAACUGAGAUUCCGUAAGUAGUGGCGAGCGAACGCGGAAGAGGCCAAACCGAGAGUAGUAAUACUUUCGGGGUUCGGACAGAAUACGGUAUUGUAAAGGUUUAGUGGAAUGGAAUGGGAAGUCCAACCGAAGAAGGUGAGAGUCCUGUACACGAAAAGCCUGAACAGCCAUCUGUAUCCAGAGUACCGCCGGACACGUGAAACCCGGUGGGAAUAUGGGGGGACCAUCCUCCAAGCCUAAAUACUACUCGGUGACCGAUAGUGAAGAAGUACUGUGAAGGAAAGGUGAAAAGUACCCCUGACGGGGAGUGAAAAAGAACCUGAAACCUUGUGUUUACAAGCACCGAAAGCUCAUCAAAGAGCGAUCGGGUACCUUUUGUAGAAUGGUCCGGCGAGUGAAUGUAACCGGCGAGGUUAAGCACUUAAGGUGUGAAGCCGCAGCGAGAGCAAGUCUGAAUAGGGCGUAUGAAGUCGGUUGUAUUCGACCCGAAACCGGGUGACCUACCCAUGGUCAGGUUGAAGUAAAGGUAAAACUUUAUGGAGGACCGAACCGACUCCCGUUGAAAUGGUAGCGGAUGAACUGUGGGUAGCGGAGAAAUUCCAAUCGAACCCGGAGAUAGCUGGUUCUCUCCGAAAUAGCUUUAGGGCUAGCCUUGAAAUAGAUUACCGGAGGUAAAGCACUGAAUUGGCUAGGGGCCGAGAGGUUACUGAACCUUAUCAAACUAAGAAUGCCGGAUAAUCGUUUUUCAGGAGUCAGACAGUGGGAGAUAAGUUUCAUUGUCAAAAGGGAAACAGCCCAGACCCACAGCUAAGGUCCCCAAGUAUAGUUAAGUGGAAAAGGAUGUGGAAUUGCACAGACAACCAGGAUGUUGGCUUAGAAGCAGCCACUCAUUAAAAGAGUGCGUAAUAGCUCACUGGUCGAGUGACUCUGCGCCGAAAAUUUAACGGGGCUAAACUAUACACCGAAGCUUGGGAUACAUCUAAUGUAUGGUAGGAGAGCGUUCUGUAUGGGGAGAAGUCGUAGCGAAAGCGGCGGUGGACUAUACAGAAGUGAGAAUGCCGGAAUAAGUAGCGAGAAUUAAGUGAGAAUCUUAAUGGCCGAAAGUCUAAGGUUUUUGGAGGAAGGUUCGUCCGCUCCAAGUAAGUCGGGAGCUAAGGUCAGGCCGAAAGGCGUAGCCGAUGCACAUACGGUUGAUAUUCCGUAACCAUCUGUAAUUUAAGCAAAGGGACACUUCAAAAGGGUGUGACCCGGGCGUUGGUUGACCCGGGCGUAAGGGACCGAAAUUAGAGUAGGGAAGCACACUUAGCUGAAGGCGAGAAAAGCUUUGCGUAUAGAAACAGAUGCCCGUACCGCAAACCGACACAGGUGGACAGGAAGAGAAUUCUAAGGCCAGCGGGAGAAGGGUAGUUAAGGAACUCGGCAAAUUGACUCCGUAACUUCGGAAUAAGGAGUGCUCGAAAGAGCCGCAGAGAAUAGGCCCAGGCGACUGUUUAGCAAAAACACAGGUCUCUGCCAAAUCGAAAGAUGAAGUAUAGGGGCUGACACCUGCCCGGUGCCGGAAGGUUAAGAGGAGGAGUGAGAGCUCCGAAUUGAAGCCCCGGUAAACGGCGGCCGUAACUAUAACGGUCCUAAGGUAGCGAAAUUCCUUGUCGGGUAAGUUCCG